Long non-coding RNA from Bos taurus (domestic cattle), 1756 nucleotides. Lineage: Eukaryota; Metazoa; Chordata; Mammalia; Artiodactyla; Bovidae. The record is from Ensembl.
CUACUCACCUGGGCACCCCGAGACAGGCGAGGCGGGCCCGGCGCCCAACACCAUGCCCCAGCCGGCCUGCGGCAGCGAGACGCGACCCCUCACAGCCAGCACCGGCUCCGGGCGGCGGGACCGGAAGUGGCGGGGCGGAGACUCGACCGCUCUCGCCAGAGGCGGCGGCGGCUACUGCUGCGACUGCAGCGGGCGCUUUAAAAAAAAAAUUCAAAAGCCCGAAGAACUUUAUUUGGAGCCUGACACACGAACAGCAGUGUGCACCGAGGAAGGGGGCUGGAUUCGGCGGCCGGCCGAUGGGGCCUAGCUCUUUGGCUGCGGGGCGGGCACGGAUCUUGCGGCCCUCUCUGAUUGGCCCGUGGCGACAGGGGGGCGGGUCACCCAGUGUUUUCCGGAGCCUGCGCGCCAGAGCUCCUGGGACUCAGAGCUAAGUUCUGCCUCCAUUCAUUUGAUCCUGUGCUGGGUCUGGGCCUACGGCUCCGGAUCGUCACGCAGCGUGGUCCGCGGGGUCGGCCAGGCUGAUGCUGACUGCUCGGUGGAUGGGGCGCCCGCUGUACGCCCAUCAGCGUGCUCAGAAUGCAGAGGAGCAGCCCAAAGCCCGCACGGUCGGGAGUGACCCGGGGCGCAGCUGUCUCAGACUUGCAGCCUCCAAACUCCCCAGGGUGCUCGCGGGGCCCGCAGUAGAAUCGCUUCUUCAAUUCAGUCGCUCAGUCGUGUCCGACUCUUUGCGACCCCCAUGGACUGCAGCACGCCAGGCCACCCUGUCCAUCACCAACUCUCUGAGUUUGCUCAAACUCAUGUCCAUCAAGUCGGGGAUGCCAUCCAACAAUCUCAUCCUCUGUUGUGUCUCCCUCUCCUCCUGCCCUCAAUCUUUUCCAGCAUCAGGGUCUUUUCCAGUGAGUCAGUUCUUCACAUCAGGUGGCCAAAGUAUUGAAACUUCAGCUUCAGCAUCAGUCCCUCCCAUGAAUAUUCAGGACUGAUUUUCUUUAGGAUGGACUGGUUGGAUCUCCUUGCAGUCCAAGGGACUCUCAAGCUUCUUGAGUACACACUAUUUUCCUGUCCCUUCGCGUCCUGGUGAGGUUGGUAACAGGCACUGUGGCAGGUUUGUGCAGGGCUCCUGGAGGAGUGAGCCAUCUGAGAGAAGAGGUUCACUUCGUGGACAGGGAAGAAACAGCCAAGAAGUUAGAAUUUUAUUUUCAGAAGCCCCAUUGAGAGGUGUUAGAGGGUGGUGUGACAACAUCAAGUUUCCUUUCUAAAAGAGGCUUCUGGUUCCGAAAGCUGAUGGAAGAGGGGACAGGCAAAGAGGAAACCUGGGUCAGCAAGACCAGUCAAGAAAAAAAUUCAUGGUGUUACUUCUGUUUGGGGACAGUUUCCUCCUUCUUUACCCUAAUUUUUUUUUAAGCUUAGACAUCACUUUCUCAGAGAGGGCCAAAAGCUGGGGAGGUGCAAGUGCCCCUCUGUGACUCUGCUGAAGCUCUGAGCUUCCUUGUUCCUGGUGGUCAGGGCCACUGCCUGUUUCCAUCAGCUCCUCUUCUGUGUUUCCCAUCGUCUGACCCUCCUCCCCCGUCCUGACAUGUAACAGGUACCAGAUAAAUACUACCCGAGGUAGUUGCAGGAGUCCUGGAGAGAGAAGAUAAGGCCUUGAAGCAAGGCAGCACGUGAAGGUGCAGUGGGCUGGCCUGGGUACAUGUCUUGCGGAGGAGCACUCUACAGGAUGGCCUGAACACACACAGGCCCGUGGUGGCCACUCCUCACC